UAGAAUUCCAGGUGUAGCGGUGAAAUGCGUAGAGAUNUGGAGGAAUACCGAUGGCGAAGGCAGCCAUCUGGCNUAACANUGACGCUGAGGUGCGAAAGCAUGGGGAGCAAACAGGAUUAGAUACCCUGGUAGUNCAUGCCGUAAACGAUGUNUACUAGCCGUUGGGGCCUUUGAGGCUUUAGUGGCGCAGCUAACGCGAUAAGUAGACCGCCUGGGGAGUACGGUCGCAAGACUANAACUCAAAUGAAUUGACGGGGGCCCGCACAANCGGUGGAGCAUGUGGUUUAAUUCGAUGCAACGCGAAGAACCUUNCCUGGCCUUGACAUNGUAAGAACUUUCCAGAGAUGGAUUGGUGCCUUCGGGAACUUACAUACAGGUGCUGCAUGGCUNUCGUCAGCUCCAGUCGUGAGAUGUUGGGUUAAGUNNCCCAACGAGCGCAACCCUUUUCCUUAUUUGCCAGCGAGUAAUGUCGGNAACUUUAAGGAUACUGCNAGUGACAAANUGGAGGAAGGCGGGGACGACGUCAAGUCAUCAUNGNCCUUACGGCCANGGCUNCNCACNNGNUACAAUNGUCNGUACAAAGGGUUGCUACCUAGCGAUNGNANGCUAAUNUCAAAAAGCCGNUCGUAGUCCGGAUNGGAGUCUGCAACUNGACUCCAUGAAGUNGGAAUCGCUAGUAAUCNCGGAUCAGAAUGCCGCGGUGAANACGUUCCC
RNAcentral lists this ribosomal RNA (714 nucleotides) under bacterium B42CA. RNAcentral's name for it is "partial 16S ribosomal RNA". It matches the Rfam family "Bacterial small subunit ribosomal RNA", at positions 662 to 1375 of the family's 1533-position model. The record is from RNAcentral.